RNAcentral lists this long non-coding RNA (455 nucleotides) under Bos taurus (domestic cattle). RNAcentral describes it as "long non-coding RNA NONBTAT022486". The record is from RNAcentral. Lineage: Eukaryota; Metazoa; Chordata; Mammalia; Artiodactyla; Bovidae.
GGUCAUUUCAAAGCAGUUUGCACUUGGAUUAUUUUUUCUGUUUUAAUUUUUCUUUUAAAUUGAAACUUGAUCAUGCAUGCUUCUUUUUCAUUUGAAAAAACUCUUAUUUUGUCCACAGUGUGGUGACUUGCCCUUUAAAACUUGGAUCUUUCUCAGUGGCUUCAUGAAACAGGAUAGUACUUUAUGUCAAAGUCAAGAACAGCUUAUGAGGAAGAAAACACACUUUCCUUAUAGGGAAAAAAUUAACCCUUAUGAACCCGAACUUGUUUUCACCAUGAUAUGCACAUACCAAAUAGGUAAUGAGAGUUAACAUGUCUUAACUGAAGAGAAAACCAAAUACCGAGAAGUCCCCUAUGCCCAUUGGUAGCUUCAGGUACAAUUUAUUUUCUAAAUUCAGUAUGUAAUGUGGAUCACCCUUGCUCAGGUUUCUUCAGGCUUGACUGUAGAUUGACUGU